RNAcentral lists this ribosomal RNA (253 nucleotides) under uncultured bacterium. RNAcentral describes it as "partial 16S ribosomal RNA". It matches the Rfam family "Bacterial small subunit ribosomal RNA", at positions 524 to 776 of the family's 1533-position model. The record is from RNAcentral.
UACGAAGGGGGCUAGCGUUGCUCGGAAUCACUGGGCGUAAAGGGUGCGUAGGCGGGUCUUUAAGUCAGGGGUGAAAUCCUGGAGCUCAACUCCAGAACUGCCUUUGAUACUGAAGAUCUUGAGUUCGGGAGAGGUGAGUGGAACUGCGAGUGUAGAGGUGAAAUUCGUAGAUAUUCGCAAGAACACCAGUGGCGAAGGCAGCUCGCUGGGACGGUACUGACGCUGAGACGCGAAAGCGUGGGGAGCAAACAGG